GGCCGCCGGCACAGGCAAUCCAAUGUCAUUUAGGGCUGGAUUCGAAGUAUAAAGACACACACAUGGUAACCCUAAAACUGAUCGAUUUAAUAAAUCGAUCAGUCGUCUGCUGGGGAGCGUGGGGGGGACGAUUUCAAGGAAGUGCUAUACUCAGGCGUGGGAGGUGAGGAGGCCUGCAGGCGUGGGAGGUGAUGAGGCCUGCACUGGUGUGACCCAUCCUCCUGACUUGCCAGGGACUGAGGGGGUCCCCGGAGGGGACAACUUGGCCGCCCUAGCCUGUGAUGCUUUAUUAUUAUUAUUAUUUUUAAUAUUUAUUCAUUUUUGAGAGAGAGAGAGCACGAGAGAGGGAGGGGCAGAGAAAGGGGAACAGAGGAUCCCAAUGUAGUUUGAGCCCCGCUGCAGGGCUGGAACUCCUGAACCGUGAUCACCACCUGGGCGGAAGUCUGCCGCUCAACCGACUGAGCCACCCAGGCGCCCCUGUGAUGCUUUAUCUUUUAAGGACGGGUGUGGGUCCAUGGGACUUUGCUCCAUUACUUCUGUAUCCUUUUGCAGACUUAGAACGUUUCACUGAGAAGAGAGAGACAAUCUCUCCCAAGAGGUGUGUUCUCUGGGGGCCCCCAAGAGAAAGUCACUGAUUGUGUGGGGAGACGAGAAAAGACUCGUAGGAGGCACUAUUCGAGGUGAAGCUGGAAGUGGAAGUGAGAAUCCCUCCAGCUCUCACCCCUCAGUUUUGGAAUUAUUUUCCUGCCCCUCUGCGUGCCUCGCUAAGCUGCAGGCUUCGGGAGAAGGCCUCAGAGCCCGCAGAUAUUUGGUUCAGCGUUGGACCUGGGGAGUCUGUGAGGGUGUUUCUGGAUGUGAUUAACUUGUGCCUGGGUAGACUGAGUACAGCAGAUGGGACAAAAGGCUGAAUAAGAAAGGAUGCUUCCCCUCUGCCUGCCUGUCUUAGAGCUGGGACAUCCGUCUUCUGCCUUCAAUCUCAGACUUGAACUUGCACCAUCGGCGCUCCUGAGACUCAGCCCUGCAGACUCAGACUAGAAAUAUCAGCUCUCCUGAGGCUCCAGGUUGCCUCCCACAGAUCUCGGACUUCUCAGCCUCUAUAAUCACAUGAGCCAUUGCCUUAUGAUUAGUAUCUGUCUAUCGACUGAUCAAUCAAUCGAUCGAUCAUCUAUUCUAUUGGGUCUGUUUCAGUGGAGAACCCAGACUCAUACCCUGGGUCUUAUACUUCCGUCCCCAGUACGUAGCCCAGACAUGCAUAGCAGGUGCUCUGCAGACGUCUGCUGCCCGAGGAUACAGAUGCAGAUCCCGGCAACUGCACGAGGUGUGGACCCGUGUCGACAUCCGGCUCGUUUGGUGAGCGGGCAGAGACUGGCGUGGCCCAUGGGCCGAGAGUUUCGGUGACCAUGGUCGACCGAAGUCCUGAAGCAGAUGACCCUCCUUCCGAAGUCUCAUCAGGAGGUCAUUGGUAGCAUCGCGCUAUGUCACAGGGCCUCCGUCACUCACCCGACUCACUUCAUCUCAUUACGCAGGCAUUUUCUCAUCUCCCGUCAUCAUAAGAAGAAGGGUAUUUGUGGUUGUUGGAGCCGACUUCUACCUGCGCUAAACCACCCCACCCUGAGGUUUUGAAGUGAAGUGUUUUGACUGGCUCCGAAUGUGAUCAUGUGAUUGAGCAUUGGCCAAUGAGAUCAUCGCAUUCCUGCCAAGUUAUCGGCUCAGCUGCCUGAUGCAUUCCCAACUCAGCUUCCUUUAGCUAGACCCAACAAUCAUCCACAGAAAUCCCAGUGCCACCCGACGCAAAAGGAAGUGAGAUGGAAGAGAAGCCAACCAACCGGAAGGAGAACUGGCCUUAACUGGUGGUGGGCGAACCAUCCUAUUCGUGCAAAUCACAUGGAAACACGUGACCCUGUGAGUACCUUGCUAGGGACUUGGGAGUGCCCGUGCAGGUGCUAAACCCUGAUGCUUAAGCUUAACGCCUUUCACAGCACGUUCACCUGUGACUACACACUCUGCCUUCUGGCAAACUGGAUUGACACCCAUUGCCCAAGCACCCCUGCUGUCCCCCCAUUGCCUUGCCUUUUCUUGCAUGAGUCCACCCUCCUGCGGGCCAACUCCUAUCUAAGUCAGACCCCUACCUCCCUUGCAAACAUCCGGGCCUUUUCAAUCAAUUCUCUUCCGUUAGCCUCCCCACCCUUAGAGAUUCUCAUCCUUUGCGUCUUUGAUUGCUGUUGGCAGACAGUACCUUGUAUUUUAGUCUUCCUUUCAUUCGGUGGGUAUUUGCUGAAUCCCCAGCCUGUCUCAGCCAUCGUUUGGGCACUGGGGAUACCAGAAGGGAGGCCAAGUCCCAGCAUUCUUGGAGCCUAUAGCUUAGUCGGGUGGGAAUUAUAAGUACCUGCAAAUGCAGAGAUCCUAUCAGAGAGUGAUAGGGCCAUGGAGAGGACCAGAGUGGCCAGGGGAGAGCGAUGCUGCUUUGGUAGGAUGGUCAUGGAAGGCCCUUCUGACGGGCCAACGGAAGGGCAUUCUCCGCAUGGAAAACAGCGGAUUCCAAAGCCAUAAGUCAGGACACCACAAGGCCAUGGUGGCUCCAGAUAAAAUUAUGUCGGGGGCCACUCUCCUUCCUGUCUCUAAGGAGCCCUUAGCCCCUGCGUGCUGUUCAGGGUCCUUUCACACCUGUUCCCUCCCCAGAUCUUCCCUUCCAGAGAAGGGUCCUUUUCUGCUUGGAAUUUCCGGCCUCUGUGUCAGAACAUGCCUGUUCUACGUUCUGGGACAGGCAAUGCCUCUGGUUGCAUGUUAAUCAGUGACAGGCUGCUAACGCAUUAUUUCAUCUCAGAUGGUGUCUGUGCUUAUCAGCAAGGCUUUUUUUUUUUUUUGAGAGAGAGAGAAAGAGAGAGGGAGAGAGAGAGAGAGAGAGAGAAUCUCGAGCAGGCUCCACACUCAGCACAGAGCCCACAGAGUCUCAUAACCCGAAGAUCCUGAUGUGAGUCGAAAUCAAGAGGUGGAUGCUCAACAGAAUGAGACCCCAGCUGCUCCCCCAACAAGACCUUUGAAGGGAAAAAAAAUGCCUUAAUUUCAAGGUGCACCUCUGACAGCAGGGGUGUAAGUCCGUGUGACAGGUCACUAGGACAGAUAUAGACUGUGGACGCAGUGAGCAUGCAGGCAGGUCCUGCAAAUCACAUGCGGUAUAUUCGUUUUCUAUCGCGACUGUAAUGCACAGCCACGGGUUUGAAGGCUUAAAACAAAGUCUAUUUACCCUUUCAUGUGUCUGCAGGUCAGAAGUCCAAGUUCACCGUGCCCUGGUGGGUCCUUUGCUUAGAGUCUCCCAAGACUGAGACCAGAGUGGUCAGUGGGACCAUGUUCCUUUCUGGAGGCUCUGGGGAUGAAUGUGUUUCCAAGCUCAUUUCAGUAGUUAGCUGAAUUCAGUUCCCCGUGGUUGUGGGACUGAGGAGCCCCUGCUUCCAUUGGGGGGGGGGCUGGUCUUUGCAACUAGAGGCUGCCCACAUUCCUUCUCGUGCUUUCCAUGCACACCCUGCCAGCAGCACUGGGGCAAAACCCUCCCAGGCUUCAAGUCUCUGACAUCUUCCGGCCCAUUUCUCUGCCUACGGCCAGAGAAAGUUCUCUGCUUCUGAGGACUUUUCAGAAUUAUGUGAUUAUAGGGGCGCCUGGGUGGCUCCGUCGGUGAAACGGCAGUCUCUUGAUUGCCGCUCAGGUCAUGAUCUCACAGUUUGGGAGUUCGAGCUCCACGUCGAGCUCUACACUGACAGCACAGAGCCCGCCUGGGAUUCUCUCCCUCUCCCUUGCUCUCCGCCCCUCCCCGACUCACUCUCUCUCAAAAGUCAGUAAACAUUAAAGAAAUAAAAUCAGAUCGUGUGAUUAUGUGGGGCCCACCAGGAAAACCCAAAGCAAUCUCCCUAUUUUAAGGUCUCUAGCCUUAACCACGGCCGCAAAGCCCCCUUUGCCCUAUAACAUAGCGUCCUAACAGGUUCUGGGGACUGUGCCGUGGGCAUCUUUGGAGGGGGGCGUUCUGCCCACCACGCUGAGCAAGGAGGCAGAGCGACAGGAUUUACAUCCUGGCGCUUGCAUCACGUGGCACUACGAUGGCUCUUACGGCCCCUUGUGCCACCUGCGGUAAUUCUCCAGCAGGUAAGGGCCGCUGUCGCAGAGCUGGUGAGGAAUCUGGGCUCCGGAGCCAGACUGCUCGUGCUCAAAGCCUGGUGCCUCUGUUCGCUGUGUGAGGCCGGAGAAGUUUUUAAGCUCCGUGCUUAUUUCGUCGUCCACGCAGCGGAGACAGCGACCUCGGCCGCAGAGGGUAGUUACGAGGAGUAAACGAGUUGACACACGCAGGGGGCUGAGUACUGUGCCCGGCACACGGUGGCAGCAAGCUGUCACCACCAUCAACCACCUUAUCAUCAGCAACCGCACUGCCACGUCCUGCCACGGUCCCCCACGGCCCUUUUUACCAUUUGCAGGCAUAACUUUUUUUUUUUUAAGUUUACUUAUUUAUUCUGGGAGAGAGAGACAGAGAGAGAGAGAGAAAGGGAGAAUCCCAAGCAGGCUCCACACUGCCAGCACAGAGCCUGACUCGGGGCUCAAACCCAUGAACCCUAAGAGCGUGAGCUGAGCUGAAAACAAGAGCCCGACGCUUAACCGACUGAGCCACCCAGGCUCAAGCCUAACUUUUGUCCAUGUGUUUGCUCAGUGUGUAUUACGCCCAACGAGAUUGAAGUUCCGUAAGGGGUAUGCCGUGGGAGGGAGUUGCGUCGGAUUCAUUUUCAGUUACCUAAGUUAUCAAGAAUACAUUUUGAAAGCAGAUCGAAAAUUCGAGAACGAGGCCAAGGUCUCCGUUGGGCACCAUGUUUCCUCCUGGUCCCUUCUCUCCCCCAGAGAGAGGCGGCCUGAAGUCGGAUGAUAUCAAGUGUUGCUGUGGGUGUGAAGACAUGGAAAUGCCCAGACGAUGUAAGUGGAUACGGCCUCCACGGAGGGCAGCCUGGCGGCAGCGAUUAAAAUGAAAAACGGGCAUUUCUCAUGACUCGGCGGUUUCGCUUCUCCGGGAUCCCUUACAGCCACACAGGAGCCGCAGAGAGGGAUGCCCUUUGCUGUAUUUUUUGUCACGGCAGAAACGAGACAAGUAAACCGUCAUCCAAAGAGGAACGGUGAAUUAAAACACAGCUUCUCCCGGAAGGCGGUGCAAGGAGUAAAUGUGGGCCUUCUAGCUCUGUUUCAAAACUUCAUAUUCGUGUUUGUACUUCGCCUGUUCUAAUAAGACCAGCAGCCUUGCUGGUUCUAGAAGGGGAAGGCGAGGCACAGACUUAGUUAAGUACCUUCCCCGAGGUUAUCUAAUGGGGCUGGAAUCUGAACCCGGGCAGUCCGACGCCCAAGUAAGUGGGGUCAGUCCCGAUGCGAGACAGCCUUUUCCUUUUCUUUUUUCGCAAGGCACGGAAUAUAUUCAUAUCGUUCAAGUCUUCGUGUGUACAAAAGCAAUGGGCAACAAGUGAGAGUCACCGAAAGUUCAGAACUUUAAGGGCGCCUGGUCACCGAACUUUCGAGAUAGCUGGAGAGCAGUGGACAGCCACAGAAAGGAACAAGUGGGUCUUUAUGGCCACUUCCGUCUUGUUUACUUUUGUUUUCCCAGGGCUUCCCAAGGCAGCUCGCGCAUGGUAAGAACGCAUCAAGUAUUAAGGAAUAAAUACAUAACCUUAGUGCAAGGCCUGCCCUCCGGUCUGACCGAAGGCAGGAAAACAGAGCCCGGACCUAGGUCUUCAUGUUCCUUGUACCCCGCCCCCCAGGCCCUGUGUCCCUGGGAUCCUGGCUGGGCAGCUGCAAGAAGUUUCGGGUUUGCUGGAGCGUAGAGCUGGAGGUCUUUGAGGCUAAGUGACGAACUGGACAUUCCUGGAAGAGCAUUAGGGAACCUCAAAGAAAA
Felis catus (domestic cat) is the source of this 5911-nucleotide long non-coding RNA. RefSeq lists it as uncharacterized. Lineage: Eukaryota; Metazoa; Chordata; Mammalia; Carnivora; Felidae. The transcript is spliced from 4 exons. The record is from RefSeq and is a predicted model, not a curated record.